This 422-nucleotide small RNA is filed under the name Histoplasma capsulatum. RNAcentral describes it as "hypothetical RNA". Lineage: Eukaryota; Fungi; Ascomycota; Eurotiomycetes; Onygenales; Ajellomycetaceae. RNAcentral also lists the same sequence under 1 other name. The record is from RNAcentral.
AUGCCCAUCUCUAAUUUGUAGAUAUGGAGUAGCUCAUUGAAAAAUCACGUUUUUGAGAAACUGUGGCGUUUGGAAAAUUCAUCCAUGAGCACUACAAAAGGGACCGAAUGACGUGACUUCUUGCCUACAGCUCCCGGUAGCCAUAUACACUUCGUCCUAAAGGGCCCAGAGUUCUAAAGGCGGAGUGUGUGGAGAAAUUUCUUCAGUGCAGGCUCUCGAUAAUCCUGCAGUCAUGGCCAAGGUCAAUGAGACGUGGCGAGGCACCUUGCACCGGCCAGUUGAUACCUUCUUGGGGAAAGCCAUCUUGAAGUGUUUUUUUUUUUCCUCCGGAAACCCACGAGCACGAAAAAGAACGGAUGCAUCUGCCCAGCUCAUGGGUCUUCGAAUGCGAUCCAUAGCUUGCAUCUCCUCAAGAUAUCUGC